GACGAACGCUGGCGGCGUGCUUAACACAUGCAAGUCGAACGGAAAGGCCCUGCUUUUGUGGGGUGCUCGAGUGGCGAACGGGUGAGUAACACGUGAGUAACCUGCCCUUGCCUUUGGGAUAACUUCAGGAAACUGGGGCUAAUACCGGAUAGGGGCUCCUGCUGCAUGGUGGGGGUUGGAAAGUUUCGGCGGUUGGGGAUGGACUCGCGGCUUAUCAGCUUGUUGGUGGGGUAGUGGCUUACCAAGGCUUUGACGGGUAGCCGGCCUGAGAGGGUGACCGGCCACAUUGGGACUGAGAUACGGCCCAGACUCCUACGGGAGGCAGCAGUGGGGAAUAUUGCACAAUGGGCGGAAGCCUGAUGCAGCAACGCCGCGUGCGGGAUGACGGCCUUCGGGUUGUAAACCGCUUUCGCCUGUGACGAAGCGUGAGUGACGGUAAUGGGUAAAGAAGCACCGGCUAACUACGUG
Molecule: ribosomal RNA, 468 nt
Filed under: uncultured bacterium
Lineage: Bacteria
Description: partial 16S ribosomal RNA
Rfam family: Bacterial small subunit ribosomal RNA
Source: RNAcentral